GCUGGGCAUGGUGGGCAUGCCUGUAAUCCCAGCACUUGGGAGGCUGAGGCAGGAGGAUCAUUGCGAGUUCAAGACCUGGUCUACAAAGUGAGCUCAAUGCCAGCUUGAACUACAUAGUGAGACCCUGUCUCAA
Molecule: non-coding RNA, 133 nt
Filed under: Cavia porcellus (domestic guinea pig)
Lineage: Eukaryota; Metazoa; Chordata; Mammalia; Rodentia; Caviidae
Source: Rfam by way of RNAcentral